This 345-nucleotide long non-coding RNA is filed under the name Androctonus crassicauda. Lineage: Eukaryota; Metazoa; Arthropoda; Arachnida; Scorpiones; Buthidae. The record is from RNAcentral.
UACAUAUCCAGUUUAAGUCAAUCCUGGUUUAAGUCCCCAUGUCUUACCCAAAAUAUGUCUACAGUCUCAUAGGGCUUUACAGUCUUCAUAACAAUAAAAUCUGUGUGUGUGGUUUUGAAGUCAAUCCCUUGCCUAAUACAACACCAAGGUAUUUAAUUUCAAUGGAAAGUUGUAACCUUUUGUCAAAGAGUGAUGGUUUAGAAAGUCCCAUCGAUAAGAAUGAUGUUCAGAAAGUCCCAUCAACCGUCGUCUUCAUGUAAAAGUACAAUUACACUCAUUGCUUAAUUAAUAGGUAAUCUAAUCUUAUUGCACCAUUUAGAAACUAUAUUGAGAGCUAUCUGAAGC